RNAcentral lists this ribosomal RNA (553 nucleotides) under uncultured Bacteroidota bacterium. Its description in RNAcentral is "bacterial SSU rRNA". It matches the Rfam family "Bacterial small subunit ribosomal RNA", at positions 63 to 610 of the family's 1533-position model. Lineage: Bacteria; Pseudomonadati; Bacteroidota. The record is from RNAcentral.
CGUACGGGAUCCGAGGUAGCAAUACUUUGGUGAGAGUGGCGCACGGGUGCGUAACACGUAUGCAACCUACCUAUAACCGGGACACAACCUCGAGAAAUUGUGGCUAAUAUCCCAUAACACUGCGAAGUGGCAUCAUUUUGCAGUUAAAACUCCGGUGGUUAUAGAUGGGCAUGCGCGACAUUAGCUAGUUGGUGAGGUAACGGCCCACCAAGGCUACGAUGUCUAGGGGUUCUGAGAGGAUUUUCCCCCACACUGGUACUGAGACACGGACCAGACUCCUACGGGAGGCAGCAGUAAGGAAUAUUGGUCAAUGGGCGCAAGCCUGAACCAGCCAUGCCGCGUGAAGGAUGACGGCCCUAUGGGUUGUAAACUUCUUUUGUACGGGAAAAAACCACCGGUCGUGUAUCGGUGCUGAUGGUACCGUAAGAAUAAGCAUCGGCUAACUCCGUGCCAGCAGCCGCGGUAAUACGGAGGAUGCAAGCGUUAUCCGGAUUCAUUGGGUUUAAAGGGUGCGCAGGCGGAAUUAUAAGUCAGUGGUGAAAGCCUACAGCUU